UACAGAGGGGGCAAGCGUUGUUCGGAAUUACUGGGCGUAAAGGGCGCGUAGGCGGCCCGCUAAGUCGAACGUGAAAUCCCCGGGCUUAACCUGGGAACUGCGCUUGUAACUGGCAAGCUUGAGUGCGGCAGAGGGGGGUGGAAUUCCAGGUGUAGCGGUGAAAUGCGUAGAUAUCUGGAGGAACACCGGUGGCGAAGGCGGCAUCCUGGACCGGUAUUGACGCUGAGGCGCGAAAGCCAGGGGAGCAAACGGG
This 253-nucleotide ribosomal RNA is filed under the name uncultured bacterium. Its description in RNAcentral is "partial 16S ribosomal RNA". It matches the Rfam family "Bacterial small subunit ribosomal RNA", at positions 524 to 776 of the family's 1533-position model. The record is from RNAcentral.